This 74-nucleotide transfer RNA is filed under the name Candidatus Peribacteria bacterium. Its description in RNAcentral is "tRNA-Gln". It matches the Rfam family "tRNA". From Rfam's summary of the family: Transfer RNA (tRNA) molecules are approximately 80 nucleotides in length. Their secondary structure includes four short double-helical elements and three loops (D, anti-codon, and T loops). Further hydrogen bonds mediate the characteristic L-shaped molecular structure. tRNAs have two regions of fundamental functional importance: the anti-codon, which is responsible for specific mRNA codon recognition, and the 3' end, to which the tRNAs corresponding amino acid is attached (by aminoacyl-tRNA synthetases). tRNAs cope with the degeneracy of the genetic code in two manners: having more than one tRNA (with a specific anti-codon) for a particular amino acid; and 'wobble' base-pairing, i.e. permitting non-standard base-pairing at the 3rd anti-codon position. The record is from RNAcentral. Lineage: Bacteria; Candidatus Peregrinibacteriota; Candidatus Peribacteria.
UCUCCCUUCGUCUAAUGGUAGGACAAGAGACUCUGAAUCUCUGAAUCUAGGUUCGAACCCUAGGGGGAGAACCA